This 480-nucleotide ribosomal RNA is filed under the name Triticum aestivum (bread wheat). Its description in RNAcentral is "partial small subunit ribosomal RNA". Lineage: Eukaryota; Viridiplantae; Streptophyta; Magnoliopsida; Poales; Poaceae. The record is from RNAcentral.
AUGACCGGGCGGCACUUGAUCAAUUUACUCGUCAAUAGUCCAGAAGGUACCUUCUUCUUAGGGACAGCCAAUGUUUCUUUUGAAAUAGUUGAUGCAAAUCUGGUGGCAAAGCUGUUGAGCGAACAAAUUGAUGCAAUUAGCCUUGAAUUGGUAGUCCAAGUAGUUAGCGAUAAUGGAUCUAACUACAAGGCAGCCGGUAGACUUCUAAUGGAAAAGUAUCCUACAAUGUAUUGGACACCUUGUGCUGCCCACUGUUUGGAUCUUAUGCUAGAGGACAUUGGGAAGAUCAAAGAGUUCAGUCGUUGCAUUGCUAAAGCAAAGAGAACAACCAGAUUUAUUUAUGCCCAUGGAAAGGUUCUUGAUUUAAUGAGAAGCUUGAAUGGUAAGCAAGAAAUUGUGAGGCCUGGAGCAACUCGUUUUGCUACGUCAUUCCUUACUUUGGAAAGCAUGUGGAAGCAAAGGCAAACAUUGAAAACUCUC